GACGAACGCUGGCGGCGUGCUUAACACAUGCAAGUCGAACGGAAAGGCCCUGCUUUUGUGGGGUGCUCGGGUGGCGAACGGGUGAGUAACACGUGAGUAACCUGCCCUUGACUUUGGGAUAACUUCAGGAAACUGGGGCUAAUACCGGAUAGGAGCUCCUGCUGCAUGGUGGGGGUUGGAAAGUUUCGGCGGUUGGGGAUGGACUCGCGGCUUAUGAGCUUGUUGGUGGGGUAGUGGCUUACGAAGGCUUUGACGGGUAGCCGGCCUGAGAGGGUGACCGGCCACAUUGGGACUGAUAUACGGCCCAGACUCCUACGGGAGGCAGCAGUGGGGAAUAUUGCACAAUGGGCGGAAGCCGGAUGCAGCAACGCCGCGUGCGGGAUGACGGCCUUCGGGUUGUAAACCGCUUUCGCCUGGGACGAAGCGUGAGUGACGGUAAUUGGUAAAGAAGCACCGGCUAACUACGUG
This 468-nucleotide ribosomal RNA is filed under the name uncultured bacterium. Its description in RNAcentral is "partial 16S ribosomal RNA". It matches the Rfam family "Bacterial small subunit ribosomal RNA", at positions 28 to 507 of the family's 1533-position model. The record is from RNAcentral.